Molecule: long non-coding RNA, 829 nt
Filed under: Ursus maritimus (polar bear)
Lineage: Eukaryota; Metazoa; Chordata; Mammalia; Carnivora; Ursidae
Description: lncRNA (ENSUMAG00000008661.1)
Source: RNAcentral
GUGGUUUCUACCAAUUGACCUUGUGUGGGAGACGAACCUCAUUAGUCAGGCUGGCCGAAGGUCUUGUCGUCUCUUAAUCAUCUUUGAUCGCCUCUGCUGCCUUCUUGGUUUUCAGUGGCUCCCAUUACUUGAGGGUGUGCCAAGACGUGAGUGUCCUAGAGGGAAGGACUGCAGUCGGCACCUAGAUGUAGGCGGGACUGCUGGGCAACAGCUGGGAAGUUCUUUGCAAUCCAGGAGUGCAAGCCCUGUUGCCUAUCAAAGCCAGGUGAUGCAGGGACCCAGCCUUUGGGUGGCAGCUGCAAAAGAUAAGGAUUCCCAAGAAUCAUUUGCUGAGAGACUGUUUAUACGUGACCCUCUCUGCCCCUUCCCUCCCCCAGCGCUGUCAGUCCCACUGGAAGAGGAGCUUCCCUUCUCCGAGCCACUGCUGAGGUGGGUGCACAGCCACUGCAUUUUCUCCUGCUUAAGAACAGUCUCUACACUUGAUAAAUCCAUCCGGUUGAGCAGUUCCCCCUGCCCCAACUCUUUCUCCUCUGUGUGCUGCUGUAGUAAUCCGGAGGCCAAACCCAAGGACUUUCUCAGACCCGCUACCCCUCCCCAAAUCCUGCAUGCUAAUGUUGUGAGAAAUUGUACCCCCUCUAGACCUGAGCACAUGGAUCUGUCCUGUUUCCACCAACACUGCUCUCAGUUUCAAGAGUCUACUAAACCCCAGUUAGUUACACAUGACAUUCGCUUGACGUUUGACAGUCCUCAAAAUAUAAAUGAUUUGUUCUGUAGAAUGGAAGCAUCUACUUCUAAGCCACUAAUAACUGCACACUGGUAUUGCAAAUAG